RNAcentral lists this ribosomal RNA (253 nucleotides) under uncultured bacterium. RNAcentral describes it as "partial 16S ribosomal RNA". It matches the Rfam family "Bacterial small subunit ribosomal RNA", at positions 524 to 776 of the family's 1533-position model. The record is from RNAcentral.
CACGUAGGCACCAAGCGUUAUCCGGAUUUAUUGGGCGUAAAGCGCACGUAGGCGGCUUGGCAAGUCGGAUGUGAAAUCCCUCGGCUCAACCAAGGAAGUGCAUCCGAAACUGCUGAGCUUGAGUACGAAAGAGGAUCGCGGAAUUCCCGGUGUAGAGGUGAAAUUCGUAGAUAUCGGGAGGAACACCAGUGGCGAAGGCGGCGAUCUGGGUCGACACUGACGCUGAGGUGCGAAAGCGUGGGGAGCAAACAGG